UGAUCUCUUUCUCUCGAGUACAAACGGUCUAAACACACAAGAAAUUUUUUUAUUGUCCUCAUAAAAGACUAAAACAGCAACAGAGCAAGGAUAGUCGAGAGACUACAUGUGUGACCCCUUCGAACACAAACAAUGUCGUAUAUGAAGAGGUACUCCUGAGAGAGCAAGCCUACUUUAAGAAGGCACUGCAUAUAAAGAAGAACAAAAGUCAAUGUCAAAACCAGACAAAAACAAGCUUUUGUGCAACUGGUAAAAGGAUUCACUCUUACUGUAUGUGGAGGUAUCAAUCUGUUCAGGGAGCUCCUUGAUAUCAACCUCAAACCUCUCUUGUACCUGUCCACAUUCAAAAUUGCUACAUUAAUAAAAUACGCAACUCGAUUAUGAGUCGAAGAUGGAUGGACUUAUGAAGAAUAUCCAAGUCCGAACCUGAUUAAGAACAUCAGAAUCUGAAGCUGAUGCAACAAAUGUGAUCGCUAGACCCUUUGUUCCAAAUCUACCAGCUCUCCCAACCUAUAUAUCAUACAUAGUGCAAAACAGUUACAUUACAAGAGCCCUUUCAGUGUGAUCAAUGAUAAAAACUUUCAUGGUUCAAUAAAUACGAAUACUUACCCUGUGAAGAUAUGUAUCAGCAGAAUCUGGCAUGUCAUAGUUGAUAACAAUAUUGACACGCUCAAUGUCAAUGCCUCUCCCCACCAAAUCUGUUGCCACAAGGAUCCUCUUGUGUCCUUCCUUGAAGCUUUUGUAGCGAGUCAACCUGCACAUCACAUCAUAUUAGCCUUCAAAGUUGGUCUCCAUGGGGGCUUUAAGAUCAAGUAGGAAUAAUCUAAAAAUAUCUACAAACCUCUCUUCUUGCGACAUGCCAGAAUGGAUGCAUAUUGAGGGGAAAUUGCAUUCUACCAGCAACUUGUUCAGCUCCGCAGCUCUGCUCACGCUCUUCACAAAUAUGACAACUUGAUUGAAGUCCAACGCAUCAAGAAGGUCAUUCAACUUGCGGUUCUUCUCCAUCUCGUUCAGUUUGAUGUAGUGCUGUUACAGUAGGACAGAAAAAAGGUUACUUAAUCAAGUAUCAAACAACAACCAAUAUGAGUAAUAAGACCACCUCACUUCAGUAAAAGUACCUGGACAAGUCCAUGAAGAGUCAACUUGGCUUCAUCAUCAACAUAUAUUUCCAUUGGCUGUAAGGAACAGAUAUCAGAGUAAAUGGUAUUAGCAAGCUUUCCUCAAGCAAUGACUUCCACAACUAAAAUGAGGACGGAUGAAGAACCCCUGAACUGAGAUCCUCGUCCAUCAGGUUUCCUCUUGAAAGAUGUGAGUAUUGCAAUGGAACAUCAAUAUUGCUCCGCACAUUAAGGGCAAUAAAAUUGAGCAUGAUGAAACCUUGAGGCCACAUAACUCCCGACUCAAAACCCACCCAGCACUGUUAGUAUUGUAGAUAUAUAGGAAAGGAAAAACACCGUGAUGAUAGUAGAUCCCACUGAGCACAUACACCACUAAACCACAAUCUAAAUUGCCUAUUCAGAGUGUCCUAAUUCUCUAAACCCUAAAAAGGUACCCAAUGUAUUAUUCAAUUAAGACCCUGCAUCCACGUAUCAAUGGCAGAUUUCCCAGGGCAGAGGGUGCUCAAAUAAACCUACGAUCUCCCAGAGAAGGCUAAACAUAAUUCAAGAUUACAAGACGUGCAAACCGAGGUAGCAUUGGCUGUGGGACAUUACAUCUUGCAUAAACUUCUUGCAGACUGGGCGUAUCUCUUUGCUGAGUGUAGCUGAGAACAUCAUAACUUGCUUAUCAUGAGGAGUCAUCUUGAAAAUCUCUUGCACAUCCCUUCGCAUGUCUGAAAAAAAAAAUACUAAAAAGUGUCAAAACAUACAUUCUAUUCAUGGAGAGGUAAGAUAUCUAAUAUAUAGAUUAUUAGAAUUCAGCAUACCAAGUGACUCGAGCAUUUUAUCACACUCGUCAAGAAUAAAAUGCCUCACAUUCUUCAAAGAGAGAUCUUUGUCCCUGGCGAGUGCAAGCACCCUACCAGGUGUACCAACAACAAUGUGAGGACAUUCAUUCUUCAGCAAGUCUUUAUGAAUUUUGAUGUUGACUCCACCAUAGAACACUGACACCUUUGUAUCAGGCAGAUAGGUACUGAAUCGCACAAACUCAUUGCAGAUCUGCAAGUAAUUUUCAACAGCAAAAGAUUACACAACAUGGGGGGAAGGGUGAUAACACAGAACUAUAGGAGCCAAAAACCUGAGUUAUACAGAAAAGUCAUACCUGGUAAGCCAGCUCUCUUGUAUGGCACAAGAUAAGUGCAGAAACCUGUCCAGGAGACGGUUCAAUCUGUUGCAGAGUAGACAACACAAACACAGCAGUCUUUCCCAUACCAGAUUUUGCUUGGCAAAUAACAUCCAUGCCCAAGAUAGCUUGAGGGAUACAUUCAUGUUGAACUGGGGGAGAACCAAAGAAAAUUGCACCGAAGGAACCGUUUAGUAGUAGAAUAUAACCUCCAUUUCUUUAUAAUUGGUGGCUUUACGACAUGCUAAGCUCACUCCAAAUCAAUAGAUUGAAAUAGCGUUUAUUACCUGGAAAAAAAAGUAAUCAAUAAAACGUUAAUGGACAAAGUAAACGAAACCAAUUAUAACAGAAAAACACAAAAACGAAUCUGAAUACAGCCAACACAACUUUACUUAGACGUGGUAGGUAAAGUAUAUGUAUCUUAAACCGACAUAUCUUCUCAAAAGUAGACGAAGUACAAAAAGUUAAAUGUCUAAGAACAACAAAAAUAGCUUUUGUGGAAGUAAUUAUGUAAGUUUAUAGUAUAUCAAUAGGUAACAGAAUUGUGCAAAGCAAAGGCAAGGAAGAAGACUCAAAAUAGAGUGAGAACUGAAUUGUGGAAGUAAGUUCUGUAAGUUUAUACCUUCAGAUGGAUGUUCAAAUCCAGAGUCAACAAUAGCUCGGAGAAGCUCCGGUUUUAAGAGGAAGUCUCUGAAUCCAGAACUGUGUAUUCCAACGUAACCUCUGCAACAAAAAGAAAACACAAGAAGAGAAGAGGAUUACACAUGAGAGUAUCAAAUAAGUUUCUAGCUGAAAGUCAUAUAUAAGUUUCCAAUAAUUACAGAGCAUUGAAGAAUUAAGAAACUGCAAUUUAUAAAGUGAAGCGACUAAUUAAAGCCUUACUGCUAACAACUAGAGAUCUAAGGAACCUCGAACUUAAACAUCAACUUUCUCAUUAACAAAUCAAGCUAAACAUAAAACUCACUUCUUCACGGCUUCGCCGUUAACUUUAUUUCCAGAAUCUGGGACCUUCUCGUCUUCUUCCUCGUAAUCCAGAAGCUCCUCCUCGUAGGCUUCGUUGUCUCUAGCGUCUCCCAUACUUCACAGGUUCUACACAAACAAUAUAAAUUUCAGAAAAAGUUCGCAAUUCGGUGCAAAACGAAAACCCUAAAGUUUGGGGAGAAACGUUCCCGAACACUAAGCGUGUAAAAUGAAUUUGCUAAUGAUCAAUGAAAUCUGAUGAACAGAGAGCGAGAAGAUACCUGAGAACUGAGCAGAGCUUGUCAGAUCGCGAAUUGGGAUUAGGGUUUCGAAUUCUCUGAUUGCAAGAGGAAGGAUAAAAUAUCUGAGCUUCACUUAGGUCAAAGACAGAUACGUAGUGAAGGAGACUGGAUACGGCUUACCUAAACUCUAAAUUGGGCUUUGUUUUGAUGGGCCUAUAUUUUGUUUGUCCUAAUGGGUUUAUGACUACAGUUAAAGCCUUGUCCACCCAAUUAUUAAGAAUACAAUAUUAAUAGGACAAACGAUGUAGAGAAGAAGACUUGUUCGUGUUUGUUAACUAGAAACUAAAAACCCUAAGUUUUAAGGAAUAUUAAAAAUGGUACACUCGAGGAAGUUCCGAGGUGUUCGCCAGAGACAAUGGGGUUCUUGGGUCUCUGAGAUUCGUCAUCCUCUUUUGUAAGUGUACUCUCUUCAUAUACAUACAUAUAUGAUCUCAACAUAUAUUACAAUGUUAUAUAUAUUGCUUAUUUUCAUAUGAAGCUAGAAUCUUUAGUAUUUCAUAAAAAAUUACUAGUAAAUUAUUAAAUGCAAAUAAAUUUAACGUUGAAAAAAUUAUCCUUUUCAAACUCGUGUCAUGUAAAUGUAUGCAUAUGUGAAAGAGUGUGGGUGUAAAAAAAAAAAUCAGGAAGAGAAGAGUAUGGCUUGGAACAUUCGAAACGGCAGAAGCGGCUGCGAGAGCUUACGACCAAGCGGCUCUUCUCAUGAACGGUCAGAACGCUAAGACCAAUUUCCCUGUCGUAAAAUCUGAGGAAGGCUCCGAUCACGUUAAAGACGUAAACUCUACGUUAAUGUCGCCCAAGUCGUUAUCUGAGCUCUUGAACGCCAAGCUGAGGAAGAGUUGCAAAGACCUAACGCCGUCUUUGACAUGUCUCCGUCUAGACACGGACAGUUCCCACAUCGGAGUUUGGCAGAAACGGGCCGGGUCGAAAACGAGUCCGACUUGGGUGAUGCGCCUGGAACUCGGGACCGUAGCUAAUGAAAGUGCGGUUGACUUGGGGAUGAAUACAAAGAAACAAACCGUCGAGAAAGAAGAAGAGGAAGAAGAAACUAUUAGUGAUGAGGAUCAGUUAGCUAUGGAGAUGAUCGAGGAGUUGCUGAAUUGGAGUUGACUUUGACCUUGGCACUUGGAUGUCUCAAAAGCGAGUAAAAAGGGUUUUCUUCAUUAUCAUCCGGAUUUUUUUUUCUUUCUUAAAGCUGCUAUGGAUCUAUUUAUUCGAUUAUAAAUGUAAGAAAAUUGUCAAAAAAAUACAUGUAAAAAAUCUAGUAUAUAUAUAUACAGACUUGUAUUUUUUUUCUUGGUAAUAAAGUGUAGUAUACAUGUGUGUUGUAUUUGAUCAAUAUAACAGAUUGUUGGGUUCUAGUAAUAUAUGUAUUUUAUUUUUUAUGUAUCCAUUGGUCUACUUGUCAAAAGGGGGGAGAUAAUUAUUUGCAACAUCUAUGACUCUUUUCACCAUCGCAGGUAUAGGUUGUAAUAUUAUGAAACGUAAUCUUAUGAGACCCAACGAAAGUUGUGAAUGAUUGACACGACAAUCAACUAAUUACGUUUCUUCAAAUCACAUAUUUUAAACAUGAAACCCUACUUGGUCCAGUACUUUUGUUAGUAUGACCAAUAAAAUCAUAAUUCAAAGCUAGAUUAUUGUGUUCUAUUAGUGUAUAUGUAACCUAAUUUCUUAUAAUAAAGGAACCUAUACAGAUAAAAGAGUCAAUUCAACAGAUAUAUAUUAAAUGGAUUUUCCUGCAAUUUUGAUGAGAGCCAUAUUGAAAAUGAAUCUAAAGUCAAUAAUCACUAGUAACUUGAUGAUCUCUUUCUCUCGAGUACAAACGGUCUAAACACACAAGAAAUUUUUUUAUUGUCCUCAUAAAAGACUAAAACAGCAACAGAGCAAGGAUAGUCGAGAGACUACAUGUGUGACCCCUUCGAACACAAACAAUGUCGUAUAUGAAGAGGUACUCCUGAGAGAGCAAGCCUACUUUAAGAAGGCACUGCAUAUAAAGAAGAACAAAAGUCAAUGUCAAAACCAGACAAAAACAAGCUUUUGUGCAACUGGUAAAAGGAUUCACUCUUACUGUAUGUGGAGGUAUCAAUCUGUUCAGGGAGCUCCUUGAUAUCAACCUCAAACCUCUCUUGUACCUGUCCACAUUCAAAAUUGCUACAUUAAUAAAAUACGCAACUCGAUUAUGAGUCGAAGAUGGAUGGACUUAUGAAGAAUAUCCAAGUCCG
RNAcentral lists this long non-coding RNA (5761 nucleotides) under Capsella rubella. RNAcentral describes it as "long non-coding RNA (CRUB_LNC001917)". The record is from RNAcentral. Lineage: Eukaryota; Viridiplantae; Streptophyta; Magnoliopsida; Brassicales; Brassicaceae.